Molecule: ribosomal RNA, 253 nt
Filed under: uncultured bacterium
Lineage: Bacteria
Description: partial 16S ribosomal RNA
Rfam family: Bacterial small subunit ribosomal RNA
Source: RNAcentral
UACGUAGGGGGCUAGCGUCGUCCGGAUUUAUUGGGCGUAAAGAGCGUGUAGGCGGCCAGGCAAGUCCGACGUGAAAUCUGGAGGCUCAACCUCCAGCGGUCGUUGGAAACUGUCUGGCUAGAGUCCGGAAGAGGAGAGUGGAAUUCCUGGUGUAGCGGUGAAAUGCGCAGAUAUCAGGAAGAACACCGAUGGCGAAAGCAGCUCUCUGGGACGGUACUGACGCUGAGACGCGAAAGCGUGGGGAGCGAACAGG